This 75-nucleotide transfer RNA is filed under the name Nitrospinota bacterium. RNAcentral describes it as "tRNA-Gly". It matches the Rfam family "tRNA". Rfam says of the family: Transfer RNA (tRNA) molecules are approximately 80 nucleotides in length. Their secondary structure includes four short double-helical elements and three loops (D, anti-codon, and T loops). Lineage: Bacteria; Pseudomonadati; Nitrospinota. The record is from RNAcentral. RNAcentral also lists the same sequence under 4 other names.
GCGGGUGUAACUCAGUGGUAGAGUGUCAGCUUCCCAAGCUGAAGGUCGCGGGUUCGAAUCCCGUCGCCCGCUCCA